Molecule: transfer RNA, 87 nt
Filed under: Rivihabitans pingtungensis
Lineage: Bacteria; Pseudomonadati; Pseudomonadota; Betaproteobacteria; Neisseriales; Aquaspirillaceae
Description: Rivicola pingtungensis tRNA-Ser
Rfam family: tRNA
About the family: Transfer RNA (tRNA) molecules are approximately 80 nucleotides in length. Their secondary structure includes four short double-helical elements and three loops (D, anti-codon, and T loops).
Source: RNAcentral
GGAGAGAUGCCGGAGCGGCUAAACGGCCCUGACUCGAAAUCAGUGGGGGACGCAAGUCCCACUAGGGUUCGAAUCCCUAUCUCUCCG